Molecule: non-coding RNA, 429 nt
Organism: Paramuricea clavata
Lineage: Eukaryota; Metazoa; Cnidaria; Anthozoa; Malacalcyonacea; Plexauridae
Source: the annotation of a GenBank genome assembly
CCUGAAUAAAUAACAUUUUAUCGUUUUCUUUUAAGGAAACAGUUCAUAUUCUAACUAUAAACUCGAAAACCAUUUAAAACAUGGUCUAGAUAAAAUAAAUUUAAAUAAAAUCCUUCCAACCUAGCCUCCUCCGCAGGCAUCUCACCUGGGGAAUCGGGUAGUCUAAAAAAAACAGAAUAAUUUUUCGAACACCCAUUCGCAGGCCAAAACCAUAGAGAUACUUGCAGAGGGGGCUACGUCCAACCUCGCUAUACGAGACUGUUCUAGUCUGUUUUUAAAACAAGCUUGAUGGUCAACUGGUGAGAUCUGUUACGGGAUGGCUAGAUAGCACUGUAGCCCUAUAUUGGAUCAAAGGGGGUGGAACUUAUAAGCAGUUCGUAGCUAACAGAGUGCGUAAGAUAAACGAGGAGUUCAUCGAGUGGAGACGUG